GACGAACGCUGGCGGCGUGCUUAACACAUGCAAGUCGAACGGAAAGGCCCUGCUUUUGUGGGGUGCUCGAGUGGCGAACGGGUGAGUAACACGUGAGUAACCUGCCCUUGACUUUGGGAUAACUUCAGGAAACUGGGGCUAAUACCGGAUAGGAGCUCCUGCUGCAUGGUGGGGGUUGGAAAGUUUCGGCGGUUGGGGAUGGACUCGCGGCUUAUCAGCUUGUUGGUGGGGUAGUGGCUUACCAAGGCUUUGACGGGUAGCCGGCCUGAGAGGGUGACCGGCGACAUGGGGACUGAGAUACGGCCCAGACUGCUACGGGAGGCAGCAGUGGGGAAUAUUGCACAAUGGGCGGAAGCCUGAUGCAGCAACGCCGCGUGCGGGAUGACGGCCUUCGGGUUGUAAACCGCUUUCGCCUGUGACGAAGCGUGAGUGACGGUAAUGGGUAAAGAAGCACCGGCUAACUACGUG
This 468-nucleotide ribosomal RNA is filed under the name uncultured bacterium. RNAcentral's name for it is "partial 16S ribosomal RNA". It matches the Rfam family "Bacterial small subunit ribosomal RNA", at positions 28 to 507 of the family's 1533-position model. The record is from RNAcentral.